RNAcentral lists this transfer RNA (75 nucleotides) under bacterium. RNAcentral describes it as "tRNA-Trp". The stretch from base 3 to 69 matches the Rfam family "tRNA". From Rfam's summary of the family: Transfer RNA (tRNA) molecules are approximately 80 nucleotides in length. The record is from RNAcentral.
UUUGAAGUAGUUUAAAGGUUAAAAUAGUAGUUUCCAAAACUACCAAUGCAGGUUCAACUCCUGUCUUCACCGCUA